Acipenser ruthenus (sterlet) is the source of this 1270-nucleotide long non-coding RNA. RefSeq lists it as uncharacterized. The record is from RefSeq and is a predicted model, not a curated record. Lineage: Eukaryota; Metazoa; Chordata; Actinopteri; Acipenseriformes; Acipenseridae. The transcript is spliced from 2 exons.
UUGUUUCAGUGGGGUUAAUAAUAAAGUGAGAACCAGGAAGCUGUGUGUUGGGAGUGAUUGGAGGUCAGUGAGAAAGUUGUGCGUGCUGUACCAGUGUUUCUGAACCGAGUACACGAAGCGCCACUGCUCGGGUCUGCCGGCAAUCCUGUCAUGAAACAGAGCCAGCUAUCUGCCGCCAAGCGGUUCGGCAAGCCAGUACUUUUCGGUACGAUCCUCGUUGGACUGGCGUCCGCUUUCUUAAACAGACACAAGUUCUUUCCAGAUGUAGAGGAGGUGCGUGCUCGAGAACGUGCAGAGUACAACGAGAAGCUCCUGGAUGUUGUGGAGCGGCGGCAGAGGCAGAUGGAUCAACUGGCACAGAAGAAGCCUCCUUCAGGGUGACGGGGCAGCACGGCUGCCAACCAGACGAGCCCCCAGUUUGCUUUCCUUGGAAGUUGCCUUCUGUUUAAGACAGUGGCAGUAUUGUGUUCUUGUUUUUUUUUUUUCUUAUUUAUAUAUAAAGGACACUGAUUGUGAGUGCUAAUAAACUGGACUAAUUCCAAGCACACAACCUGACAAGUACAGCAUUUAAUGAGAGAAUAAAAAAGAGAAAGGAAGUGGGGAAAACAAGUUGCAUUCUUUAAAGUCUGUUCAGUUAAGGUCAGGAAUGAUACAUAUUGUAAUCAUGAGGGAAUCUGGCUCAGUUAACAGUAAAGUAAGGUUUUAAUCUGGGCCAGUGCAUGUAAUGGAGUGACUAUUAAUAUUUUACAAUAUAUGAGGGACAUGCAGGACCAACCCAUGUCAGUAAAUGCUUGUAUUUAGUAUUGAUUUUGGGCACUAAACUAGCACUGCUACGUUAGGGUCUGUGAAACCAGCUGUAAAUGUUCCCAACACUUUGUUGUGCAUGUUGGAAUGUGCUGAAUAAGCAAACAGCGCUUUAUCAUUGUUUCUGGAGAAGUUUAAAGAUGGUCAGCCUAUGGCUUUAAAAAAAAAAAAUGUUUUCAUAGCCUAUUUCCACCAGCAGGUGCCAUCAUUGUUUUUUUCCCAGCCCGUUGUGGGAUCACAAUGUAGGAGCAGCAACAGCAAGCCUGCCCUGCAAUUCCAGUAGGAAGCGUGCUAUUACAGAUAUUUGAAUACUCAUUACAAACAUGGCUUGAAAUGGAUUCAGUGGUACACAUGAUGUCCGUAUUGGUUCAUAUAACAGCACAUAAAUGAAUGUAAUGGAAAGUGUUAUGAAAGGAAACCUAAUGCAUAAAUGAGGUCUGUAAUAAACCACACAUUCUACAGUGCA